This 486-nucleotide ribosomal RNA is filed under the name Streptomyces sp. 313A07. Its description in RNAcentral is "bacterial SSU rRNA". It matches the Rfam family "Bacterial small subunit ribosomal RNA", at positions 93 to 592 of the family's 1533-position model. Lineage: Bacteria; Bacillati; Actinomycetota; Actinomycetes; Kitasatosporales; Streptomycetaceae. The record is from RNAcentral.
UAGUGGCGAACGGGUGAGUAACACGUGGGCAAUCUGCCCUUCACUCUGGGACAAGCCCUGGAAACGGGGUCUAAUACCGGAUAACACCUGCCCGGGCAUCUGGGUGGGUUAAAAGCUCCGGCGGUGAAGGAUGAGCCCGCGGCCUAUCAGCUUGUUGGUGAGGUAGUGGCUCACCAAGGCGACGACGGGUAGCCGGCCUGAGAGGGCGACCGGCCACACUGGGACUGAGACACGGCCCAGACUCCUACGGGAGGCAGCAGUGGGGAAUAUUGCACAAUGGGCGAAAGCCUGAUGCAGCGACGCCGCGUGAGGGAUGACGGCCUUCGGGUUGUAAACCUCUUUCAGCAGGGAAGAAGCGAAAGUGACGGUACCUGCAGAAGAAGCGCCGGCUAACUACGUGCCAGCAGCCCGCGGUAAUACGUAGGGCGCAAGCGUUGUCCGGAUUUAUUGGGCGUAAAGAGCUCGUAGGCGGCUUGUCACGUCGGG